This 428-nucleotide ribosomal RNA is filed under the name uncultured bacterium. RNAcentral's name for it is "partial 16S ribosomal RNA". It matches the Rfam family "Bacterial small subunit ribosomal RNA", at positions 354 to 796 of the family's 1533-position model. The record is from RNAcentral.
GUAGGGAAUAUUGCGCAAUGGACGAAAGUCUGACGCAGCGACGCCGCGUGAGUGAUGAAGGCCUUAGGGUCGUAAAGCUCUGUUGAAUGGGAAGAAAAAAAUGACGGUACCAUUCGAGGAAGGACCGGCUAACUUCGUGCCAGCAGCCGCGGUAAUACGAGGGGUCCUAGCGUUGUUCGGAAUCAUUGGGCGUAAAGGGUGUGUAGGUGGCCAUGUAAGUCAGGUGUGAAAGCACCGGGCUCAACCCGGGAAGUGCACUUGAUACUGCGUGGCUUGAGUACCGAAGAGGGUAGUGGAAUUCCAGGUGUAGUGGUGAAAUACGUAGAUAUCUGGAGGAACACCGGUGGCGAAGGCGGCUACCUGGUCGAGUACUGACACUGAGACACGAAAGCAUGGGGAUCAAACAGGAUUAGAUACUCUAGUAGUCC